RNAcentral lists this ribosomal RNA (411 nucleotides) under Actinomycetes bacterium. RNAcentral describes it as "Actinobacteria bacterium partial 16S ribosomal RNA". It matches the Rfam family "Bacterial small subunit ribosomal RNA", at positions 355 to 776 of the family's 1533-position model. The record is from RNAcentral. Lineage: Bacteria; Bacillati; Actinomycetota; Actinomycetes.
UGGGGAAUAUUGCACAAUGGGCGCAAGCCUGAUGCAGAGACGCCGCGUGGGGGAUGACGGCCUUCGGGUUGUAAAAUCCUUUCGCUAGGGACGAAGCUUUUUGUGACGGUACCUAGAUAAGAAGCACCGGCUAACUACGUGCCAGCAGCCGCGGUAAUACGUAGGGUGCGAGCGUUGUCCGGAAUUACUGGGCGUAAAGGGCUCGUAGGUGGUUUGUCGCGUCGUCUGUGAAAUUCCGGGGCUUAACUCCGGGCGUGCAGGCGAUACGGGCAUAACUUGAGUACUGUAGGGGUAACUGGAAUUCCUGGUGUAGCGGUGAAAUGCGCAGAUAUCAGGAGGCACACCGAUGGCGAAGGCAGGUUACUGGGCAGUUACUGACGCUGAGGAGCGAAAGCAUGGGUAGCGAACAGG